Molecule: ribosomal RNA, 464 nt
Filed under: uncultured bacterium
Lineage: Bacteria
Description: bacterial SSU rRNA
Rfam family: Bacterial small subunit ribosomal RNA
Source: RNAcentral
ACUCCUACGGGAGGCAGCAGUAAGGAAUAUUGGUCAAUGGGCGCGAGCCUGAACCAGCCAUGCCGCGUGCAGGAAGACUGCCCUAUGGGUUGUAAACUGCUUUUAUAUGGGACUAACCACGCCUACGUGUAGGCGUCUGCAUGUACCAUACGAAUAAGCAUCGGCUAACUCCGUGCCAGCAGCCGCGGUAAUACGGAGGAUGCGAGCGUUAUCCGGAAUUAUUGGGUUUAAAGGGUGCGUAGGCUGACAAGUAAGUCAGUGGUGAAAUUCCCCGGCUCAACCGGGGGUGUGCCAUUGAUACUGUUUGUCUAGAGUGUAAGCGAAGUGGGCGGAAUGAGGAGUGUAGCGGUGAAAUGCAUAGAUAUUCCUCAGAACACCGAUAGCGAAGGCAGCUCACUAGUAUACAACUGACGCUGAGGCACGAAAGCGUGGGUAGCAAACAGGAUUAGAUACCCCGGUAGUCC